This 364-nucleotide long non-coding RNA is filed under the name Equus caballus (horse). RNAcentral describes it as "lncRNA (ENSECAG00000045681.1)". The record is from RNAcentral. Lineage: Eukaryota; Metazoa; Chordata; Mammalia; Perissodactyla; Equidae.
GAUAGCACAGUUGUAAUCAAAGCUUCAAACCUUGGGCAUUUGAUGCCAAUAGCUAUACUCUUAACCGCUGUGAUCUUCUCUCCCAUGGACAGGACGGUCCUGGGCUUUACUGUUACAGAGGAAGUUGGACAAGAAACAAAUAAAUGAACAAGCAAGAGAACUGUCUGAGAGAGAUUGUAUACAAGUGUUGUGAAGAGACUUAAAAUAUGCAGGCUGGAUAAGGAGUACUGAGGUUUGGGCUGGUGCUCUGAAAGACUUUCUGUCCUGAGGCCGUUUUCCAGCACAAUUUCACAGGGACAAGUUUGAACGAGGAAUCUUCUGGUGAGAAUGGACAUUCUCAUUCCUCUACAUAUGCACACCAGAC